UCGUAACAAGGUUUCCGUAGGUGAACCUGCGGAAGGAUCAUUACUGAUUUGCUUAAUUGCACCACAUGUGUUUUGUUUUGGACAAACUUGCUUUGGCGGUGGGCCCCUGCCUGCCGCCAGAGGACAUAAACUUACAACCAAAUUUUUUAUAAACUUGUCACGAGAUUAUUUUUAAUAGUCAAAACUUUCAACAACGGAUCUCUUGGUUCUCGCAUCGAUGAAGAACGCAGCGAAAUGCGAUACGUAAUAUGAAUUGCAGAUAUUCGUGAAUCAUCGAAUCUUUGAACGCACAUUGCGCCCUCUGGUAUUCCGGAGGGCAUGCCUGUUUGAGCGUCGUUUCUCCCUCAAACCCCCAGGGUUUGGUGUUGAGCAAUACGACUUGGGUUUGCUUGAAAGAUGAUAGUGGUAAGGCGGAGAUGCUUGACAAUGGCUUAGGUGUAACCAAAAACAUUGCUAAGGCGGUCUCUGGCGUCGCCCAUUUUAUUCUUCAAACUUUGACCUCAAAUCAGGUAGGACUACCCGCUGAACUUAAGCAUAUCAAUAAGCGGAGGAA
This 553-nucleotide unclassified non-coding RNA is filed under the name Candida dubliniensis. RNAcentral describes it as "sequence contains 18S rRNA gene, ITS1, 5.8S rRNA gene, ITS2, 28S rRNA gene". The stretch from base 183 to 336 matches the Rfam family "5.8S ribosomal RNA". Lineage: Eukaryota; Fungi; Ascomycota; Pichiomycetes; Serinales; Debaryomycetaceae. The record is from RNAcentral.